ACAGAUCCGUGCUGCGUGCCCUCUGGGAAGGGUGAAGUAAAACCCUCAGUCUGAGCCUGAGAAAUCCUGGCAUUUGUAGCCCAGGGCUGCGAGGAAGCCACAGGGCGGUCCGCAGGGCGGUAUCGAGGCUCUGGGACCCAAGGAGGGGCAGGACGUCGUGCACCCCUCGCGCACGCACCUGUCGGGACCGGCCGCCUCCUCCUGCCUACCUGUCCUGCCUCCUUCGCCCCGAAUUUCACCUUAAACCAUGAUGAACCAAGCCCAGUGGAUUCUGAAGCCCGGGACGAUGGCAGUCCCAGGAUCUCAGGAUAUUGUUGGAACUCAUCUCCACCUCACACAGCCAGACCAGCCUCAGGUGUCUCCCAGGAAAGACUGCCCCUCAGGCCCUGGGACGGUUCCCAAGCCUGCCAGAAAUGAGGUGGAGGCCAACACUGACCUUUGGAUGGCUGAGUUUUGGAUGACUGACAGCCCCAGAUCCUGCUCCAGGUUCCUUCCUCAGGAA
Molecule: long non-coding RNA, 502 nt
Filed under: Homo sapiens (human)
Lineage: Eukaryota; Metazoa; Chordata; Mammalia; Primates; Hominidae
Description: HSALNT0366475
Source: RNAcentral